AGAGUUUGAUCCUGGCUCAGGAUGAACGCUAGCUACAGGCUUAACACAUGCAAGUCGAGGGGCAGCAGGACGAUAGCUUGCUAUUGUUGCUGGCGACCGGCGCACGGGUGAGUAACGCGUAUCCAACCUUCCGCAUAGUAGGGAAUAGCCCGGAGAAAUUCGGAUUAAUGCCCUAUGUUCUUCGUCGAGGACAUCUGAAGUGAAGUAAAGGUUUACCGCUAUGCGAUGGGGAUGCGUCUGAUUAGGUGGUAGGCGGGGUAACGGCCCACCUAGCCUACGAUCAGUAGGGGUUCUGAGAGGAAGGUCCCCCACAUUGGAACUGAGACACGGUCCAAACUCCUACGGGAGGCAGCAGUGAGGAAUAUUGGUCAAUGGGCGAGAGCCUGAACCAGCCAAGUAGCGUGCAGGAUGACGGCCCUAUGGGUUGUAAACUGCUUUUAUGCGGGGAUAAAGUGGCGUACGUGUACGCUAUUGUAGGUACCGCAUGAAUAAGGACCGGCUAAUUCCGUGCCAGCAGCCGCGGUAAUACGGAAGGUCCGGGCGUUAUCCGGAUUUAUUGGGUUUAAAGGGAGCGCAGGCUGACCAGUAAGCGUGACGUGAAAUGUAGCCGCUCAACGGCUGAACUGCGUCGCGAACUGUUGGUCUUGAGUGAGUUCGACGUCAGCGGAAUUCGUGGUGUAGCGGUGAAAUGCUUAGAUAUCACGAAGAACCCCGAUUGCGCAGGCAGCUGACGAGGCCUUAACUGACGCUAAAGCUCGAAGGUGCGGGUAUCGAACAGGAUUAGAUACCCUGGUAGUCCGCACGGUAAACGAUGGAUGCCCGCUGUUGGCGAUACAAUGUCAGCGGCCAAGAGAAAUCGUUAAGCAUCCCACCUGGGGAGUACGCCGGCAACGGUGAAACUCAAAGGAAUUGACGG
Molecule: ribosomal RNA, 916 nt
Filed under: uncultured bacterium
Lineage: Bacteria
Description: bacterial SSU rRNA
Rfam family: Bacterial small subunit ribosomal RNA
Source: RNAcentral